UUCAACACCACCUCCUCACAGCGUUUCAUAAAUUAGCGCCCCUAGGGGUGACAGGAAUUACGACCCACACGAGCACUUUCUGUCCUCAUAUCUA
Long non-coding RNA from Etheostoma spectabile (orangethroat darter), 94 nucleotides. RefSeq lists it as uncharacterized. Lineage: Eukaryota; Metazoa; Chordata; Actinopteri; Perciformes; Percidae. The transcript has 3 exons. The record is from RefSeq and is a predicted model, not a curated record.